This is a long non-coding RNA of Alligator sinensis (Chinese alligator), 1671 nucleotides long. RefSeq lists it as uncharacterized. The record is from RefSeq and is a predicted model, not a curated record. The transcript is spliced from 3 exons. NCBI's taxonomy places the organism in Eukaryota, Metazoa, Chordata, Crocodylia, Alligatoridae.
UAACAGUAUGACUCAGUGCAGAUUGAAAUACAAGCCAAAUAAAUCACUUCUUUGCUAAUAUAACUCCACUAAAGCCAAUCAACUUACAUCAUAAAAGCCUAAAAGAAAAGGAAGGCAUCUGAACCAAAAAGCUUUACGUUUCCAGGACUAAGAUCUGCACUCCAUCUAGUGGUGAUUGAACUACACUGGCUACACAUAACGGAUGGUGACAGAAAACAUGGAAUCUGAACUAGAUCCAAUAACAAGACUACUGCUUUUCUUGUUUGAAAACCAGCUGAAGAAUUGAUGUACCCUUUGAAAGCUGAUUUUCAUAGUCUGUGUUACGGAAAUGGAAAGAAACAGAUUGUUAAACAGCCAAGGCCAUACUUGCUCUGCUAUGAAAACUUGAAACUAGCAUUUUGAUGUCUCUCUGUAAGCUCAUCACUGUUAAAUAAACAAACCUACUACAGAAGAUGAAAGCAUUUUUUAUAGUAAAAAUAAAUUCAUACUUGCUAUACCUCCACAAUUUUUAAUAAAGGUUGAAUUUAGACAGUUCCAUUAAACUAGCUGUGGAUGUUUAUAGUCCAUCCGAUAAUGUCUCCAAUACCUAUAUUCUUAUUGUUGCUUUUAUUUCCUGUGAUCAAAAUGCAGGACCAGGUUCUCAAAUAAAAAUGGUGUAAGUUAAAAGAUAGUAUGUGACACAGGUGAGUUAGGACUAGACUGCUCUCAGUUAUACCUCCUUCAAAGUCCCUCAUACCUGCCAAACCCAGAAUAUUUGGGCACUUAAUUCUCCUGGAGUCAAUGGGAGCUAGGCACCCAAAAUCUCUUUUUUUUCUAUGAGUCUAUAAACUAGAAGCAAGAACCUGGAGUUUUGUAAGUUGAAUAAGGCACAGCUACAUGAGUACAACUAGCUAAUGAGACUAAGAGGGAAAGCAGCCUACUUUUAAGAGAAAGGCCACACAAACUGCUGUGUUGUGUGCUGAAGACAAAUAGGGAAUAGGCAAAGGUCGGCAGAGAAGCAACUCUCAUGGGUCUGCUAGGUGAUGCUUAGCUGCUGUGUGCAUUGCUGUGUGUGCGCGUGUGUGUGUGCGCGCGCACGUACGCAUGCACACACAUAUGAGAGAGAGAGAGAUUGUAAGUCCUCUUGUGGAUAUAUAUUUGUUUCGAGGAACACCUGUGUGCAAUGGUUUAUUUCUAACUGUACUGUGGCCUUCUUUUUUUACUCCAUUCCUAGAUGCUAGCAGGUUGUGUGUGCAGUCUUGCAUAUUUAUCUUCUAUUACCGUUCUGCAUGGACUGGCCUUCUCCUUGUCUCAGCAUGUCUUUGGAGCCACUACAUAAGAAAGAUCUGGAAUGUCUCCAUACACACCAGCAAUGGGCAUGGUAAAGAAUAACUAGUACUGCCAAAAUUGUGCUGACUCCUGCAAUGUUAAUGGUGGGGUCAAUUAAGGCUGUCUCGUCCUCCUCCUCCUAUCCAGUUAGAUCAUGACAGGAUGAAUUUAUCCUCCUUUCCCUCUCAGCCUAUACUGUAUUUAUCCCAAGAACAUAAUGACCUUUUUUCCAACAGGCCAUACGCAGACUUCCUUUUGCAUCAUUACAGGAUAACUAGCUGUCUUGUCUCCAGUUACACCACCUGGUUGCCUAAAUCAUACCAGCCUAAUGUGUUGUGUUCACUUUUUACACCACCGUAAGAA